GACGGGGGAUGCAAGCGUUGUCCGGAUUCAUUGGGCGUAAAGAGCUCGUAGGCGGCUUGGCAAGUCAGAUGUGAAACCCUCAGGCUUAACCUGGGGCCGCCAUCUGAUACUGCUAUGGCUAGAGUCCGGUAGGGGAUCGUGGAAUUCCUGGAGUAGUGGUGAAAUGCACAGAUCUCAGGAGGAACACCAGUGGCGAAGGCGGCGAUCUGGGCCGGUACUGACGCUGAGGAGCGAAAGCGUGGGGAGCAAACAGG
Molecule: ribosomal RNA, 254 nt
Filed under: uncultured bacterium
Lineage: Bacteria
Description: partial 16S ribosomal RNA
Rfam family: Bacterial small subunit ribosomal RNA
Source: RNAcentral